CCCAGCAAGCCCUUCCACUCCACUGCAGGGAGAGGGGCCCAGGUCGUCCUGGCUACCUCUUCUCCUUAGUGGGCGUUUACUAAUCUGGACUUCAUCCCAGGUCCUUUCGUUGGGGGAGGCACAGAGAUACGGAAACACGGCUGUUCGUGUACUGUGUUUGAGCGUCCCUCGUCCCUCGGGGGUCCUUCGCUCAUCCAUUCGACGUCUAGAGAAGGAGUCAGGGAUCCAGACUGGAAGAGGACCAGGACCCUCCGCUGUGCAGUUGCUGUCUCUGGGGUGGCCGGUGUGAACCGUUAAUGGCCCAGCGAGGAGUCAGUGCUGGACCCGGGCAGCGAGGGCCGGGGAGGCGUGCUGGUGCCAUCCGUGGGCCCUUCCAAGGAGGUGACACUGGAGCCCUGUGUGUCUGGAGUGGGGCGCUCUUCAGGAGGUGGAUUUCACCUUGUCUCCCACCCAGAGCAACCUGGCCCUGUCUGCAGAGCGCUGGACUAGGUGCACAGCUCACCUGUGCUUGUCGCUGGCCCUACCUCACCAGCCCUUCCAGCGGCAGUUGUGAGGCGGUUCCUCAGCACUGUAUCGGCGCUGUGGGGUGGGCGCAUGCGUCCUGGGAGUUGUGAGGGAAGACAGCGACCUCUGAGGAGAUGCAGCCUCUCCACGCUCCACCACCUGGCGGAGCAGAGACCACUCAGCAUGUCACUUCCUGUGGUCGGGCCACACUAUCCUGCUGGACAGGAUGCACCUCCUGGUAUUCUGCGCACAUGCUUCUGGGCCACACAGCCAAGUGCUGACCCAGAGAGGACAGAGCAAGCUUUGAUGGGGCGGGUCUUUGAGGAGGGAGCAUCGAGAGGUUGCUCCCAGGGAACAGAGCCGGCCCCUAGGAGUGACCGAAGCGGCUCACCUUCUGAGCUGUGGUCCUGCAGAGACAAGCCCAGCCUCACACUCCCAGAAUGUGACAGAAAGGAGGAGUCUGGGUCCCUCUGAGUGACCCAGGA
Molecule: long non-coding RNA, 989 nt
Filed under: Fukomys damarensis (Damara mole-rat)
Lineage: Eukaryota; Metazoa; Chordata; Mammalia; Rodentia; Bathyergidae
Description: lncRNA (ENSFDAG00000028474.1)
Source: RNAcentral